RNAcentral lists this ribosomal RNA (468 nucleotides) under uncultured bacterium. RNAcentral describes it as "partial 16S ribosomal RNA". It matches the Rfam family "Bacterial small subunit ribosomal RNA", at positions 28 to 507 of the family's 1533-position model. The record is from RNAcentral.
GACGAACGCUGGCGGCGUGCUUAACACAUGCAAGUCGAACGGAAAGGCCCUGCUUUUGUGGGGUGCUCGAGUGGCGAACGGGUGAGUAACACGUGAGUAACCUGCCCUUGACUUUGGGAUAACUUCAGGAAACUGGGGCUAAUACCGGAUAGGAGCUCCUGCUGCAUGGUGGGGGUUGGAAAGUUUCGGCGGUUGGGGAUGGACUCGCGGCUUAUCAGCUUGUGGGUGGGGUAGUGGCUUACCAAGGCUUUGACGGGUAGCCGGCCUGAGAGGGUGACCGGCCACAUUGGGACUGAGAUACGGCCCAGACUCCUACGGGAGGCGGCAGUGGGGAAUAUUGCACAAUGGGCGGAAGCCUGAUGCAGCAACGCCGCGUGCGGGAUGACGGCCUUCGGGUUGUAAACCGUUUUCGCCUGUGACGAAGCGUGAGUGACGGUAAUGGGUAAAGAAGCACCGGCUAACUACGUG